This 24-nucleotide non-coding RNA is filed under the name Arabidopsis thaliana (thale cress). Lineage: Eukaryota; Viridiplantae; Streptophyta; Magnoliopsida; Brassicales; Brassicaceae. The record is from RNAcentral.
AUGGUGCAUGUAAAGAUAAAGUGU